Molecule: long non-coding RNA, 4859 nt
Filed under: Mus musculus (house mouse)
Lineage: Eukaryota; Metazoa; Chordata; Mammalia; Rodentia; Muridae
Description: long non-coding RNA chr9:102923345-102928204
Source: RNAcentral
CAAAUCCCAUGACCAUACCAAGUGUCCUUAUUGAAAGACUGGCUGCACUGAUCAUCUGGGUUAUAUUGAAUUCAGUGUGAUGGUGGAGCAGAUGGUAUUCACCAACUUUUUCCUGGGGAGUAGCUGGGGAGUAGCUGGAGAACCUAGUGGGAUGGACCUGUGGGCUUGGAGGUAGACCUCACCUGUUUGUCCUGUGGACUAAAUCUAUGCUGAGCAUACAAAAUGUUAGAUGUAUCCAUGUAGCCUCCACCCCCAAAUCUUUAGACAAAGGCCAAACCCAAAGUAAAAUGUCUGCUAGGCAUAACUGGGCAGAUCCCUGGUAUACAGGCAGCCCAGCUCAGGGAGCUGAGAGAAGGGAGGAUUGGAUAGAGCAACAUGCACACAUGAUGACUGGCUUUGUUACAACCCAGAAGACAGAACUGGCUGUGUCUCGACCUAAGAGACAGAGCAGGUACUCAGGUGGGCAGGCCAGCGGGACUUCCUGAGGCAGUGUGGCCUGACCUUGAAGGACAUGGCAACAUUCCCAUCGGGAACCCCAGCCCUUUGCAGCGCAGCCUCUUGAGACAAGGCCUUCGGCGACAGUGAGAAGAAAGUUGCCACAUCUGCCACACCUUAGCCCUAGAACGAAGCAGUGCUGUUGUUUCUGUUUCGUUCGGCUGCAACCUGUGCUUAAGAUAGCCUGGCUCUGCGGGGCCCGGGAGGGCUGAGCUCAGUUCAGAGGAGCUGUGUGCUCCAAUGGGAAGAUUACCCAGAACACUGGCCUGGAAAGACAGUUCUCAGCACUCGCCCUCCCUUCUGUGGACACUCCCCACAGGCGUCAGUCUCAGACUGUCUUUCUCUAAGGCCCUGGGGGCUAUGAAGUCUGUGACCUGGAUGUUGUGGGACCACAGCCUGAUGUGCUGAUUUUGUCCUGUGACAAGUACCUAAGGACCCAGCGUAAAGUGUCUUCUUACCUCCCCAGAUCUUCCUAUAAUCCUCUUGGCUGAGAUAGCUGGGUUCUUGGCUGCGGGGCACCAUAGAUUGGAAUGCUGUGGACUAUGUGGGGAGAGGCCCCUUAAGGAAACAGGUGCUGUUGAUAUCAUCAACAGCUCGAGCAAACCAACACAGCCAGAAGGAGCUGUCUCAGGAUGCCCGAGUUGGGGAUAUUCACAGAAGGAGAGAGGGCGAGCUCUGGGGGACCUCUUCCCACAUCCACUGUUGCUGGUGCGGGUUGUCUUGUGCCUGAAAUUCCACUUUUGUGCUCCUAAGACCUUGGCAGCCUCAUUAACUUGCCAGUGCAACCUUGCUUACCUGUUUGGAAUCCUGGGCUUAGUUCCCUGGCUCUAGCAAAGUGUUAUAGGACGCUGAGCUUCUUUGGCCGAGCCUUUGUGGCUUCCAUGGUCCCGGCCACAUUCUUUCCCUCCACUGCUAUCACCACCGUUACCAACCAAACUGCUACAGGGCCUGACAGGAAGCCAGUUUGAGAUUAGGGAACAGAUUGGGGCUUCCCCACAGGCUGGUAUUCCUUCAGGCAACUUCUUGUUGAUCCUGGAGACUCCGGUAAACCUAAUCAACAUUCCUGGGCCCCAGUGAGGCAGGCUAUUGCUUCUGGCUAUUUGCCUCAUUGUCUCCUAGCAUUGACGUCAUCAACCUUGUGAUCUUCCAGCUUGUUAUCUCUAAUAAGAUAAUAGUAUUCUACCAUCACUAGCCACUAUCACUUCUACCAACUGUUGGUCCUCUCAAGCCCACCCAGCUGCGUGACGAAAAACACCCUGCUACAGGACAGAAAGCCGCCGCUACCUCAUCUGCUUCGUUCUCCUCCUAGCCAAUCUGAGAAGCCCAACUCUCUGGGGGGCGGGGCAUGGAGCACAGCCCCCUUUUUUUUUUUGCCUUUCUUACACGUGAGCCCUUAAAACUGGCCACGUGCCAGUCAGUCAUCCUUGUCUCUGUCCAAUCCAGAGGCCGCCCCCACCCCACCCCCACUGCCUUGUCCCUCCAAAUAAUAAAAUCUCUGUGGUGAGAAUCUGGCCCACAGUAGGAAGGGCUCCCCUAUCACUUGAUGUGAUCAUGGCAACCAAGGGCCCACUGGCGUGUCUGGAGGUCCAUCUCCCAGGUGCCUCUGGAUUGUCAGGUUGACAACUAACACCAGCUACCACAAUUACUUUAUUUAUUUCUGAGUUUGAGAUUGUUUUGUUUUGUUUUGUUUUGUUGAGACAGGGUCUCUCUAUGUAGUCUUGGCUGCCCUGAACUGUCGAUGUAGAGCAAGCUGACCUCAAACUCACAGAGACCCACCUCCCUCUGAUUCUCAAGAGCCAGGAUUAAAAGCAUAUAUUACCACACCCAGCUGACUUCUUUUCUAUAUCUCACAAUAUGAAACUUCUGUCAGGCAGAUAAUUUGCAAAUGUUUUUCUCAAUUUGUGGUUGCCUUUUUAUUUAUUUGAUAAUGUUCUUUGAAGACAAAGUCUUUUAAUUUUUAAUUCACCGAAUUAUUGAUCUACUUUAUUUACUUAUAUUUAUGUGAUGUGUGUAAGACAAUGUUUCCUGACUUACUCCAAUUGCUAUGUCAGGAUUGCUAAGCUUACUCCAGUGCUCCCGUCUAAGAAUUUUACAGUUUAAGUUCAAUUCUAAGUAUUUUACAGAUCUUAACACUUACACCAUAAUCUACUUAAACUAAUUUUUACUUAAGACCUAAAGUGAAAACUCUAGGUCCUGUGCAUAUCUCAUUAUUUCCAACGCAUUAUUUGUUUAAAAUAAUUCUAUUUUCCUUUCUUGAUUCUCUUGACUGAAAAACCGAGUGGAUCCCAUUUUGACUCUUGUGUUGAUCCAUAUGCCCAUCCUUUUGCCAACACAGUUACUAUCUUACUACCAUAUGUAAGUUUGCAUGUGUGGGAGUGCACAUGGUCUGGGAGGCUAGAGGUCAACCCCUAGGGUGUUGUUCAGGGGCCAUCAGUCUUGGGCUUUGGGGAUAUGGGCCUCUAACAAGCUAGAAACUCUUGGGAUGGCUAGAGUUAAUUAUCAACCUAACAGACUCUAGACUCUGCCCUCCCAGUGUUGGGGUAAAGAGCAUGUGCCAGAACACUCGAAUCUUUAGGUCCCAAGGAAUGAACUCACUUCCUCAUGAUCUGUAGGCAAGCGCUUUACCAACUGAGCCAUCUCGAUAGCCCAUAAAGUAUCUUCUGAAACCAGAAAGCAUGAGCCUCCUAAGCCUUCUUCAAGAUUAUCUGAGAUAUUCUGAGCCCCUUGCAUUUCUAUGUGAAUUUUAGAAUCAAUUUGCCAAUUACUGAGUGGUGGGGAGACCCAACUAGGACUUAGCCUGUGAUCACACUGAAUCUGUAGAUCUAGAUGAGGUACUUGUACACCCUCAUUCACUGUGAGAGCAAUUGAGUGUAGCAUAUUUAAUUUAUGUAUGUAAUUAUGGAAUGAUCAAACAAAAUUAAUAUUUGUAAGUAUUAUUUACAUAGAAAAAAAUCCAAAUAAUACAAAGAAAAAGUAGUAGAAUUAUUAAGAGUUUACCAAAUUUGCUGGCUACAAGUUCAAUAUAAAAGGAAGCAAUACCGUUUAUAUCAAGGGGGCUGUAUACAAGGUCAACAUACAAAAAUCAAUUAUAUCAUAUAUACUAGUAUUUUAGUUAGGGUUUCUAUUGCUAUGAUGAAAACACCAUGACCAAGAAGCAAGUUGGAGAGGAAAGGGUUUAUUCAAUUUAAAUUUCCAGAUCAUGUAGUCCAUCACUGGAGGAAGUCAGGACAGGAACUCACACAGGGCAGGAACCUAGAGGCAGGAUCUGAUGCAGAGGCCAUGGAAGGGUGCUGUUUACUGGCUUGCUUCCCUGGCUUGCUCAGCCUGCUUUCUUAUAGAACCCAAGACCACCAGCCUAAGGAUGGCACCACCCACAAUGGACUGGGCCCUCUCCGAUUGAUCAUGAAUUGAGAAAAUGCCUUACAGCUGGCCUCAACUAAGGCUUCUUUCUCUUUGAUAACUCUAGCUUGUGUGUCAAGUUAACACACAAAGUCAGCCAGUACAACUAGCAAUAAACAAUCUGUUUUGUUUUGAUUUUUGAGACAGGGUAUCUCUGUGUAGCCCUGGCUGACCUGGAACUCAUUCUGUAGACCAGGUUAGCCUCUGCUUCCUGGAUGCUGGGAUUAAAGGCGUUCACCACCACCACCCAACUAGACAGACUCACACAAACACGUAACAAUUCAAUUUAUAGUAAGGUCUCGCUGGCCUUUUCCUUUCUCAUGGUCUCUCUGCUUCUGGGCUCACAGGAGGCAAGCAGCUCUGCCUCUUUGAAGCCCUUUCUGCCGAGCUGUGUUUCCCCACAGACCCACAACAGUGGUACCAAACAAUCACGGGUCCAAAGAAAUCUUUCCUCUUUCUAAGUUGGUUUGCUCAGGGGGUUAGUGCCACAGUGAUGGGGAAAAAUGACUAACGGAAGGAAUGUAUCCUGAACUUCUCUACCUGCACACCUGUUAAUAGUAUCAUAUAGUCUUUCUUUUAGCUUUUUAGAUGGAGAACCAAUUUACUGACUGGUGUCUUGGUAACACAGUAACAUCCCAACCUUACAUUCUGUGGGUAAAUGCAACUUUGUCCCCUUACAUUAUUUUUAUGCUUUGUUGAGUCUGCUACAGUAGCAUUUUUUGAAAGGAUGCUUUUUGGGGGAGAUUAUGUUCCUGGGAUAGUGGCCUCUAGUUUUCUCUCCUUAUAAUUUGUCAGGUCAUGGUGUCCGGGUUAUGGUAUCACCUCCGAAGGAAAAGUGUUUCUUCUUUUGGAUAUUGGAAAUAUUUUUUGUUUUUCUCUUUCUAGAAGAAGGCUAAUAGGUACUGGAAUUGCUUAUUUCUAGAUUAAUUAGUAGCUUAGAUCUAGAGAUUUCUUUAUGGCAAGCC